GGGAUUGUAGCUCAGUGGUAGAGUGCUCACCUAGCAUGUGUGAGGCCCUGGGUUUGAUCCUCAGCACCA
RNAcentral lists this transfer RNA (69 nucleotides) under Urocitellus parryii (Arctic ground squirrel). RNAcentral's name for it is "Spermophilus parryii (Arctic ground squirrel) tRNA". It matches the Rfam family "tRNA". Rfam says of the family: Transfer RNA (tRNA) molecules are approximately 80 nucleotides in length. RNAcentral also lists the same sequence under 1 other name. Lineage: Eukaryota; Metazoa; Chordata; Mammalia; Rodentia; Sciuridae. The record is from Rfam by way of RNAcentral.